AGAGUUUGAUCCUGGCUCAGGAUGAACGCUGGCGGCGUGCCUAAUACAUGCAAGUCGAACGCGCAGCGAGAGGUGCUUGCACCUUUCAAGCGAGUGGCGAACGGGUGAGUAACACGUGGAUAACCUGCCUCAAGGCUGGGGAUAACAUUUGGAAACAGAUGCUAAUACCGAAUAAAACUUAGUAUCGCAUGAUAUCAAGUUAAAAGGCGCUACGGUGUCACCUAGAGAUGGAUCCGCGGUGCAUUAGUUAGUUGGUGGGGUAAAGGCUUACCAAGACGAUGAUGCAUAGCCGAGUUGAGAGACUGAUCGGCCACAUUGGGACUGAGACACGGCCCAAACUCCUACGGGAGGCAGCA
RNAcentral lists this ribosomal RNA (356 nucleotides) under uncultured bacterium. RNAcentral's name for it is "bacterial SSU rRNA". It matches the Rfam family "Bacterial small subunit ribosomal RNA", at positions 8 to 353 of the family's 1533-position model. The record is from RNAcentral.